This is a long non-coding RNA of Lontra canadensis (Northern American river otter), 818 nucleotides long. RefSeq lists it as uncharacterized. The record is from RefSeq and is a predicted model, not a curated record. The transcript is spliced from 3 exons. NCBI's taxonomy places the organism in Eukaryota, Metazoa, Chordata, Mammalia, Carnivora, Mustelidae.
GCCUGAGUAAGGAAAAUUGAAAAACAAAAGAAAGGCUCUAAGUGAUUUGUUCUGAACUUUAGAAAUACCACCGUACUUCUGAAUAUUCAAUAACACUUGUUUAUACAUCCUUCGAGCUGGCAGUUUGCAUUUGUCCUUCUGUUUGUUUGGAAACAGAAAAUAGCAAGGAGUAAAGAUGAAAUUCUGAUUGGACUGGGAGGUGACAUGCUCCAAGGAGCCCCUUCAUGGGUCCACCACUCCUGUUCCCUAUAGAAUGAAUGGAGUCUCUGCAGCCAAGGUGACAGAAACAUCCACCCAGGGCUCAGUGCAGCUGGACGGGAGAAUUCAAGCUUCCAGACCUGCUGUCCAGUUCAUGAGGCAGAAAUGGAAACAGAGACAAAGCAAAGGCUGCAUAGGACCUUCAACAACAAGAGUCAGAAAGCAUGAUGUCAGAUCUACACGUCCAGGAAGAAAGGAUAUUACUUGUUAAAUCAAUCGGCCCCCAGAAGGAGAAAGCAAUUGGCUAAAGAAAAAGAAAGCAACUGGUGAUCUAUGAAUACCCCUUUGGAAAGAAGUAAGAUUCCAAUAAUAAAGCAAAUAACGUGAAAUGUGAUGAAGUAUUGUACAAUGGGAAUCUGAACCUAAGGUAAUUAAUAUCUAGACUGGAGGAAUAGUUAAGCUGAAUUUCCUGAAGCAGUUAGUUACCUCAUUUUUGUGCUGAAAUAAUUAUACUUUCCCAAUUCAAAGGAUUAUGAAUCGAGAGGUGACAGUGAAGCAACACUCACCAGUAACAAGUAGUUAUCCCCCAGCAUUAGGAAUAGGGCAGAAGCAAGGCAGGA